This 253-nucleotide ribosomal RNA is filed under the name uncultured bacterium. Its description in RNAcentral is "partial 16S ribosomal RNA". It matches the Rfam family "Bacterial small subunit ribosomal RNA", at positions 524 to 776 of the family's 1533-position model. The record is from RNAcentral.
UACGAAGGGGGCUAGCGUUGCUCGGAAUCACUGGGCGUAAAGGGUGCGUAGGCGGGUCUUUAAGUCGGGGGUGAAAUCCCGGAGCUCAACUCCAGAACUGCCUUCGAUACUGGAGAGCUUGAGUCCGGGAGAGGUGAGUGGAACUGCGAGUGUAGAGGUGAAAUUCGUAGAUAUUCGCAAGAACACCAGUGGCGAAGGCGGCUCACUGGCCCGGUACUGACGCUGAGGUGCGAAAGCGUGGGGAGCAAACAGG